UAGGGAAUCUUCCACAAUGGACGCAAGUCUGAUGGAGCAACGCCGCGUGAGUGAAGAAGGUUUUCGGACCGUAAAGCUCUGUUGUUGGUGAAGAAGGAUAGAGGUAGUAACUGGCCUUUAUUUGACGGUAAUCAACCAGAAAGUCACGGCUAACUACGUGCCAGCAGCCGCGGUAAUACGUAGGUGGCAAGCGUUGUCCGGAUUUAUUGGGCGUAAAGCGAGCGCAGGCGGAAGAAUAAGUCUGAUGUGAAAGCCCUCGGCUUAACCGAGGAAUUGCAUCGGAAACUGUUUUUCUUGAGUGCAGAAGAGGAGAGUAGAACUCCAUGUGUAGCGGUGGAAUGCGUAGAUAUAUGGAAGAAUACCGGUGGCGAAGGCGGCUCUCUGGUCUGCAACUGACGCUGAGGCUCGAAAGCAUGGGUAGCGAACAGGAUUAGAUACCCUGGUAGUCCAUGCCGUAAAACGAUGAGUGCUAAGUGUUGGGAGGCUUCCGCCUCUCAGUGCUGCAGCUAACGCAUUAAGCACUCCGCCUGGGGGAGUACGACCGCAAGGUUGAA
Molecule: ribosomal RNA, 554 nt
Filed under: uncultured bacterium
Lineage: Bacteria
Description: partial 16S ribosomal RNA
Rfam family: Bacterial small subunit ribosomal RNA
Source: RNAcentral